CAUCAACAUGCUGUACAUUCACUGAGUCUGAGAGAGAAAAAUCAAGUGAAAUGUUGUCAAAGAGAAUUGUGGCAUGUUUGUAUCGGGGUAUUACACAGAGAGCUCAAAGUAAUGUCCCACUGUAUUGUUGCCAUAGAAACACAUGUGUGAGGUCAAUGUCAAGUAAUGUCAAGGCUGAGGAGGAUAUUACAAAUGGUACUCUAAAAAAUACAG
Mytilus trossulus (common blue mussel) is the source of this 213-nucleotide long non-coding RNA. RefSeq lists it as uncharacterized. NCBI's taxonomy places the organism in Eukaryota, Metazoa, Mollusca, Bivalvia, Mytilida, Mytilidae. The record is from RefSeq and is a predicted model, not a curated record. The transcript is spliced from 2 exons.